GGUGCUUGAGCGCCGGCGGAUGGGGGUCUGGGUGGCCCCUGGUUUAGGGAACGACUUCUGGCACUCUGUGUCAAUGGAGAAUCCAGCUCAGGGUAGGAUCACCGUCCCCAGGGUCCUCACUUGUCCUCAGGCUGACCAGUUGAGCUUGACUAUGAACCAGCCCCUUCCUCUGAAUUCCAGAUCUGACAGGUGGGGUGGGUGGGAUGAUGAGAACCGGGGAGAGGGACUGGAAAGGAGAAGUGGGUUGCCUGGAUGUGGACCUGUGUCUGGAAGGAUGGGGGAGUGGGAUGCUCCUGAGGACAGGAGCCAUGGGCAGGCCUCUUGGCAAGAGGGGCCCAGAAGCAAGGCAUCUGCAGCCCAAGACUGUCACCUCCUGGCUCCUCCCACAGGGCAGUGGCCAUAGGUAGGACCCUUCACUUGAGAAGGAAGUGGGUGCUGUUUGAAAUUCUAUCAGCUGAAGCUGUGCAGGUGUUAAGGUGGCAGAAGGGCUGUGCAAAGUGACAGCUCAGGAGCAAGACAGCAAGUGGGGUGCCAAGAGAAGCUGGCUGGCUCUGUGCAGCCCGGUGGUGCCCAGUACCUGGCAGCAGAGAAACUGCCUGGCCCUCUCUAGGGGACUGUGCAUCACCUGUGGUCAGCUGUUCAUCCCAUGAUUACCUGACACAGUCAUUUCUUCCUUUUAGUUUCAUCUCAGUCUUUUGGGACCAGGCUCUGGGUCUGUCCACACACGUCUUCUAGGUCCACCAUACUGUUUUACCUACUGUCACACAGUAAUGUCAACCAAGGACUCCCCAGAACCAGGAUCGGCACACCUAGUCUCUGGUGGUCAAUCAGGAAGCAGCCAGUAGCUGCCCUCCUCCUGUAGGGACGAAUUGCAGGGAUGUGUCUACUUAGGGUGACAGUCGCUAGAGAAAAGGCCUCCCCUCUUCUCUCUGCCCCUCUAGCCAUCCCUGGGGAUCAGCCUCCUGUGCUCAGCUGCCCUUCAGUGGAGAUCCUUCCAAUAAUGGCUUUUCCCCUGGGAGGCAAUGAAUUUGUCCCAAAAUGUGCUGCAUCUAAAAGCCUAAAAACAAACAUUGGAGAAUCUGUUAAUAAAAAUCAUCCUGCAAAUGUGGUUUUUC
This is a long non-coding RNA of Marmota flaviventris (yellow-bellied marmot), 1115 nucleotides long. RefSeq lists it as uncharacterized. Lineage: Eukaryota; Metazoa; Chordata; Mammalia; Rodentia; Sciuridae. The record is from RefSeq and is a predicted model, not a curated record.